AUGUAUGUGUAUCCCAGUUUCACUCUUCCAGCCCGACAUUCACGCAUCUGGUUAUCACUUAUCUUUGGCUUGUCGCAUACACCAAAUGGCCAAAUCCAUAUUCGAUUUCUACAUUUUGAGUGUCGGCGAUCUUAUCGGCCUUGGUGUUGUAGCAUCCUCACAAACUGUGUAAAUAGAGAUUAGGGAAGAAGGAUACAUGGGAGGAGAUCAAACUCCUUAGAAAAUGUUAUGAAAAAAAAAUGGUGGACAGUGGCGACCUUACAACUGAUUUUUCUAUGAAUUGUCGCUACUGAUGGGUUAUGAUUCAACUGAUGAAGUUGGGCCACGAUGAACAACAGGAAAAUCAAGGAAAAAAAAUCAAUGGAUUUCGUCAACUAUAAAAAGGGUUCAAUGAGAAUUUCCGUUGCAUGCAUAUUUUUUUAUUUAAGAUGAUCAAAGAAGGUUGCUACAUUGACAGAUUUAUAAACUUGGAAAAUCUGUGAAAGCAGCAACCUUGUUUGAGAUUAUAAUAAUGUCAAACACAAAAGUUUUAAGAAAUGGUUCAAUCAUUCAAAUAAAAUAGUUGUAACAAAAACAUAUGAUGAUUAGUGUUGAUUGAGAUGAACUAACCUGAAUUUUCUUUAGUCUCUAUUGCAAAAUUGCAGAAUUCGUUGUGAUGAUCAUGAGAAAGAAAAGUAGUGUAGUAUGAUCUUCAAGGUAGGGUUUGGCAUGUAUUAGAAAUGUAAUUUAAAAAUAGGAUCUGGUAAAUAAGGUAAAUAGGUAAAUGUAUCCCUAAAUUGUAGGGGUACAUUAAAAUCCAAGAGAAUUUUCAGCAUUUUUAGAUGAUACUUUCCAGUUUUUUCGAUUAGGAUAGUAGUUUGUGUUUUUUUUAAAAAAAAUUUAAAUCAAAGAUGUUUUAUCGACCACAAGAGAAAACAAACAAAAAUUUGAGAAUUCACAAAAAAAUGACAUGUGUCAAAUAGCAUAGCUAUAAGGGGGACAUGUGGCAUUUAAGGGUUUUGUUUAUUAGAAGAGGUAGAUUCACAUCUAUUAUAUGAAACGUAUCUACAAGAUUAUAGGAUAUUGUUGUUCAAUGUCAAAGAAUCAAAGAAUUCGAAAUUGGAUAUCAUUUCCAUAAUCAUUGUUAAAAGUUAUGUAUAAAUCAUGUGUUGUUCUCCGUACAUUAUGUUUCCUUUAGACCCUUCGCAGAAUCAUGUUCGAACAACAUCAACCAUUGUAGCAUCACGUUUGUCAUCUAGGUUCCUUCUUUAAUAUGAUGUUCUUAAUUUUUAUUAAUUGUAUUCGAUUUUUUGAUUCACAUUAGUUUUGUAUUUUACUGUGAUCUUUAACCUUGCACUUGAUGUUGCACUCUACACGUUUGAAUAAAAUCCUAUGAGAAAAGCACAAUGACUUUUGAUUAA
Lactuca sativa (garden lettuce) is the source of this 1400-nucleotide long non-coding RNA. RefSeq lists it as uncharacterized. NCBI's taxonomy places the organism in Eukaryota, Viridiplantae, Streptophyta, Magnoliopsida, Asterales, Asteraceae. The record is from RefSeq and is a predicted model, not a curated record.